AUGGCUGUAAAGAGGAAGAACAAAUUUUUAAUCGAAGCUCUUUUAGAGAGCGGAGCAAACGUUAAUGAAAACCUUGGUGAUGGACGCAGUGCAUUCGAUCAAGAGGAGAGGACCGGGGCGAAUAUACCGUUUACACUUUUUUCGGAAGUAGCUGUAGACAUUAAAACUAGUCCGAAAGAAGGUUGGACCGCGUUACACGAAGCUGCUUUUGGAGGGAGUGCAACGACGGUACAAAUGUUGUUGGAUGGGGGAGCAAACAUCGAUGCGCAAGCAACUGAUGUUACAGGAUUCGGUAGCGUGACUCCACUUCUUGUUGCGUUGAAAGAGAGACAAUGGCACGCAGCUAUUGUACUUAUAAAGAGAGGUGCCAGUCUAGAGCCCGUGAACAAAGGUCGGAACGCGUUAUUUUACGCCGUCGAGGGAAGUUGCUCAGAAAUAGUGGAUUUAAUCAUAGGCCGUGGUUUAGACGUUGAUGAUACUUAUAACAAGUACUCCUUGCGCCUAGCUUUCCGCGAAUCUUUCACUCACCUAAAUCUAGCGAUCAUAGGAAAAUUGUUAACCCAUGGGUUCACGAUCAGCCCUGCAGAUGUUACUUUGCCUGGCCUGCUGAUGUGUGCCAUCUUAGAAAAUUGCACAGAUAUCGCUCAAAAGAUUCUUGAGGCUGGUGCCUGUCCAAAUCAGACCCUUUCAAUUGAGGAGAAGAGUUUGUACCCAAAGAUCUUCAAUACCUGCAAGGAAUUUUUAGAUGAUAAUACAGCCAGUCAAUCUGGAGGCUCUGCCUUAAUCACACCAAUGACAGUCGCUGUUGUAAGCCAGAACGUGGACGCAGCAAAAUUACUCUUAGAUCGGAAUGUCUCCGUGUAUGGUCGCGCAGACUUUCUACGUUGUGCUUUGGAAGCCCACCACCACGAUAUGAUAAAUCUACUGGUAGAAAAUGGUUGUCCCGUCAGUCCUUGCGAUGGUAAAUCGCCUUUGGGUUUUGCAUUCCGCAAUGCGUGCGAGACGUGCGUUGACGUACUGAUGAAGCACGGCGCUUCUUUCGAAUUCGAACGAAUUAGCUUCGACCUUGACUACCUCACGGAAUACGACGUGGAUUCUACUCCCGCUAAAUUUUUUGCAGCGUACCUUCAUCGUGGCUUCACGGAGCCAACAUUUCGUGGUAAGAGGUACUUGGAAAAAUUGUUGGAUAACUUUGUUGAUGAUUGGUGUUUCAGUCAUUUUGAUGAUAGCGAUGAUAGUGAUUUUCAUUUGAUUCUUAUGGUUUUAAGAGAAGACAAAGCGUUGAUUUUAGCCUAG
This 1296-nucleotide long non-coding RNA is filed under the name Bemisia tabaci. Its description in RNAcentral is "lncRNA ENSSSA2NGG004328". Lineage: Eukaryota; Metazoa; Arthropoda; Insecta; Hemiptera; Aleyrodidae. The record is from RNAcentral.